GACAGAGGGUGCAAACGUUGCUCGGAAUUACUGGGCGUAAAGCGCGUGUAGGCGGUUCCGCAAGUCAGGUGUGAAAGCCCAGGGCUCAACCCUGGAAGUGCACUUGAUACUACGGAGCUUGAGUACUGAAGAGGAGAGCGGAAUUCCCGGUGUAGAGGUGAAAUUCGUAGAUAUCGGGAGGAACACCGGUGGCGAAGGCGGUUCUCUGGGCCUGUACUGACGCUGAGGAGCGAAAGCGUGGGGAGCGAACAGG
Molecule: ribosomal RNA, 253 nt
Filed under: uncultured bacterium
Lineage: Bacteria
Description: partial 16S ribosomal RNA
Rfam family: Bacterial small subunit ribosomal RNA
Source: RNAcentral